This 2901-nucleotide ribosomal RNA is filed under the name Escherichia coli. RNAcentral's name for it is "23S ribosomal RNA". It matches the Rfam family "Bacterial large subunit ribosomal RNA". Lineage: Bacteria; Pseudomonadati; Pseudomonadota; Gammaproteobacteria; Enterobacterales; Enterobacteriaceae. The record is from RNAcentral.
UUAAGCGACUAAGCGUACACGGUGGAUGCCCUGGCAGUCAGAGGCGAUGAAGGACGUGCUAAUCUGCGAUAAGCGUCGGUGAGGUGAUAUGAACCGUUAUAACCGGCGAUUUCCGAAUGGGGAAACCCAGUGUGUUUCGACACACUAUCAUUAACUGAAUCCAUAGGUUAAUGAGGCGAACCGGGGGAACUGAAACAUCUAAGUACCCCGAGGAAAAGAAAUCAACCGAGAUUCCCCCAGUAGCGGCGAGCGAACGGGGAGGAGCCCAGAGCCUGAAUCAGUGUGUGUGUUAGUGGAAGCGUCUGGAAAGGCGCGCGAUACAGGGUGACAGCCCCGUACACAAAAAUGCACAUAUUGUGAGCUCGAUGAGUAGGGCGGGACACGUGGUAUCCUGUCUGAAUAUGGGGGGACCAUCCUCCAAGGCUAAAUACUCCUGACUGACCGAUAGUGAACCAGUACCGUGAGGGAAAGGCGAAAAGAACCCCGGCGAGGGGAGUGAAAAAGAACCUGAAACCGUGUACGUACAAGCAGUGGGAGCCUCUUAAUGGGGUGACUGCGUACCUUUUGUAUAAUGGGUCAGCGACUUAUAUUCUGUAGCAAGGUUAACCGAAUAGGGGAGCCGAAGGGAAACCGAGUCUUAACUGGGCGUUAAGUUGCAGGGUAUAGACCCGAAACCCGGUGAUCUAGCCAUGGGCAGGUUGAAGGUUGGGUAACACUAACUGGAGGACCGAACCGACUAAUGUUGAAAAAUUAGCGGAUGACUUGUGGCUGGGGGUGAAAGGCCAAUCAAACCGGGAGAUAGCUGGUUCUCCCCGAAAGCUAUUUAGGUAGCGCCUCGUGAAUUCAUCUCCGGGGGUAGAGCACUGUUUCGGCAAGGGGGUCAUCCCGACUUACCAACCCGAUGCAAACUGCGAAUACCGGAGAAUGUUAUCACGGGAGACACACGGCGGGUGCUAACGUCCGUCGUGAAGAGGGAAACAACCCAGACCGCCAGCUAAGGUCCCAAAGUCAUGGUUAAGUGGGAAACGAUGUGGGAAGGCCCAGACAGCCAGGAUGUUGGCUUAGAAGCAGCCAUCAUUUAAAGAAAGCGUAAUAGCUCACUGGUCGAGUCGGCCUGCGCGGAAGAUGUAACGGGGCUAAACCAUGCACCGAAGCUGCGGCAGCGACACUAUGUGUUGUUGGGUAGGGGAGCGUUCUGUAAGCCUGUGAAGGUGGCCUGUGAGGGGUGCUGGAGGUAUCAGAAGUGCGAAUGCUGACAUAAGUAACGAUAAAGCGGGUGAAAAGCCCGCUCGCCGGAAGACCAAGGGUUCCUGUCCAACGUUAAUCGGGGCAGGGUGAGUCGACCCCUAAGGCGAGGCCGAAAGGCGUAGUCGAUGGGAAACAGGUUAAUAUUCCUGUACUUGGUGUUACUGCGAAGGGGGGACGGAGAAGGCUAUGUUGGCCGGGCGACGGUUGUCCCGGUUUAAGCGUGUAGGCUGGUUUUCCAGGCAAAUCCGGAAAACCAAGGCUGAGGCGUGAUGACGAGGCACUACGGUGCUGAAGUGACAAAUGCCCUGCUUCCAGGAAAAGCCUCUAAGCAUCAGGUAACAUCAAAUCGUACCCCAAACCGACACAGGUGGUCAGGUAGAGAAUACCAAGGCGCUUGAGAGAACUCGGGUGAAGGAACUAGGCAAAAUGGUGCCGUAACUUCGGGAGAAGGCACGCUGAUAUGUAGGUGAAGCGACUUGCUCGUGGAGCUGAAAUCAGUCGAAGAUACCAGCUGGCUGCAACUGUUUAUUAAAAACACAGCACUGUGCAAACACGAAAGUGGACGUAUACGGUGUGACGCCUGCCCGGUGCCGGAAGGUUAAUUGAUGGGGUUAGCGGUAACGCGAAGCUCUUGAUCGAAGCCCCGGUAAACGGCGGCCGUAACUAUAACGGUCCUAAGGUAGCGAAAUUCCUUGUCGGGUAAGUUCCGACCUGCACGAAUGGCGUAAUGAUGGCCAGGCUGUCUCCACCCGAGACUCAGUGAAAUUGAACUCGCUGUGAAGAUGCAGUGUACCCGCGGCAAGACGGAAAGACCCCGUGAACCUUUACUAUAGCUUGACACUGAACAUUGAGCCUUGAUGUGUAGGAUAGGUGGGAGGCUUUGAAGUGUGGACGCCAGUCUGCAUGGAGCCGACCUUGAAAUACCACCCUUUAAUGUUUGAUGUUCUAACGUUGGCCCGUAAUCCGGGUUGCGGACAGUGUCUGGUGGGUAGUUUGACUGGGGCGGUCUCCUCCUAAAGAGUAACGGAGGAGCACGAAGGUUGGCUAAUCCUGGUCGGACAUCAGGAGGUUAGUGCAAUGGCAUAAGCCAGCUUGACUGCGAGCGUGACGGCGCGAGCAGGUGCGAAAGCAGGUCAUAGUGAUCCGGUGGUUCUGAAUGGAAGGGCCAUCGCUCAACGGAUAAAAGGUACUCCGGGGAUAACAGGCUGAUACCGCCCAAGAGUUCAUAUCGACGGCGGUGUUUGGCACCUCGAUGUCGGCUCAUCACAUCCUGGGGCUGAAGUAGGUCCCAAGGGUAUGGCUGUUCGCCAUUUAAAGUGGUACGCGAGCUGGGUUUAGAACGUCGUGAGACAGUUCGGUCCCUAUCUGCCGUGGGCGCUGGAGAACUGAGGGGGGCUGCUCCUAGUACGAGAGGACCGGAGUGGACGCAUCACUGGUGUUCGGGUUGUCAUGCCAAUGGCACUGCCCGGUAGCUAAAUGCGGAAGAGAUAAGUGCUGAAAGCAUCUAAGCACGAAACUUGCCCCGAGAUGAGUUCUCCCUGAGACUUAGAGUCUCCUGAAGGAACGUUGAAGACGACGACGUUGAUAGGCCGGGUGUGUAAGCGCAGCGAUGCGUUGAGCUAACCGGUACUAAUGAACCGUGAGGCUUAACCU